This 272-nucleotide ribosomal RNA is filed under the name Bacteroides caecigallinarum. RNAcentral describes it as "partial 23S ribosomal RNA". It matches the Rfam family "Bacterial large subunit ribosomal RNA", at positions 152 to 433 of the family's 2925-position model. Lineage: Bacteria; Pseudomonadati; Bacteroidota; Bacteroidia; Bacteroidales; Bacteroidaceae. The record is from RNAcentral.
CUUACUUAAGUAAGGGGCUAACGCAGGGAACUGAAACAUCUUAGUACCUGCAGGAAAAGAAAAUAACAAUGAUUCCCCCAGUAGUGGCGAGCGAACGGGGAAUAGCCCAAACCGUCCGUGUUACGGCACAGACGGGGUUGUAGGACCACGACGUUGCAAGAAGUUUAGUGAGAAGAACGAUCUGGAAAGUUCGACCACAGACGGUGACAGUCCUGUAUUCGAAGCUAAACGAAGCAUAGUGUAAUCCUGAGUAGCGCGGGACACGAGGAAUC